RNAcentral lists this transfer RNA (76 nucleotides) under Lactobacillus sp. RNAcentral's name for it is "tRNA-Lys". It matches the Rfam family "tRNA". Rfam says of the family: Transfer RNA (tRNA) molecules are approximately 80 nucleotides in length. Their secondary structure includes four short double-helical elements and three loops (D, anti-codon, and T loops). The record is from RNAcentral. RNAcentral also lists the same sequence under 9 other names. Lineage: Bacteria; Bacillati; Bacillota; Bacilli; Lactobacillales; Lactobacillaceae.
GGGUGGCUAGCUCAGUUGGUAGAGCAACGGACUCUUAAUCCGUGGGUCCAGGGUUCGAGCCCCUGGCCACCCACCA